UGGUUAGAGUGUAGAGGCGGCAGGGUAGCCUAGUGGUUAGAGUGUAGAGGCGGCAGGGUAGCCUAGUGGUUAGAGUGUAGAGGCGGCAGGGUAGCCUAGUGGUUAGAGUGUAGAGGCGUCAGGGUAGCCUAGUGGUUAGAGUGUAGAGGCGGCAGGGUAGCCUAGUGGUUAGAGUGUAGAGGUGUCAGGGUAGCCUAGUGGUUAGAGUGUAGAGGCGGCAGGGUAGCCUAGUGGUUAGAGUGUAGAGGCGGCAGGGUAGCCUAGUGGUUAGAGUGUGGAGGCGACAGGGUAGCCUAGUGGUUAGAGUGUAGAGGCGGCAGGGUAGCCUAGUGGUUAGAGUGUAGAGGCGGCAGAGUAGCCUAGUGGUUAGAGUGUAGAGGCGGCAGGGUAGCCUAGUGGUUAGAGUGUGGAGGCGGCAGGGUAGCCUAGUGGUUAGAGUGUGGAGGCGGCAGGGUAGCCUAGUGGUUAGAGUGUGGAGGCGGCAGGGUAGCCUAGUGGUUAGAGUGUAGAGGCGGCAGAGUAGCCUAGUGGUUAGAGUGUAGAGGCGGCAGGGUAGCCUAGUGUUUAGAGUGUAGAGGCGGCAGGGUAGCCUAGUGGUUAGAGUGUAGAGGCGGCAGGGUAGCCUAGUGGUUAGAGUGUAGAGGCGGCAGGGUAGCCUAGUGGUUAGAGUGUAGAGGUGGCAGGGUAGCCUAGUGGUUAG
This is a long non-coding RNA of Oncorhynchus tshawytscha (Chinook salmon), 700 nucleotides long. NCBI's taxonomy places the organism in Eukaryota, Metazoa, Chordata, Actinopteri, Salmoniformes, Salmonidae. The record is from Ensembl.